Molecule: ribosomal RNA, 493 nt
Filed under: uncultured bacterium
Lineage: Bacteria
Description: partial 16S ribosomal RNA
Rfam family: Bacterial small subunit ribosomal RNA
Source: RNAcentral
GACGAACGCUGGCGGCGUGCUUAACACAUGCAAGUCGAACGGUGAAGCGCCUUCCUUUUGGUGGGUGUGGAUGAGUGGCGGACGGGUGAGUAACACGUGAGUAACCUGCCCCCUUCUUCUGGAUAACCGAAUGAAAGUGUGGCUAAUACGGGAUAUUCUGGGUCUGUCGCAUGAUGGGUCUGGGAAAGAUAUUGUUUCGGUGGGGGAUGGGCUCGCGGCCUAUCAGCUUGUUGGUGGGGUGAUGGCCUACCAAGGCGGUGACGGGUAGCCGGCCUGAGAGGGUGGACGGUCACACAGGGAGUGAGGCACGGCCCAGACUCCGACGGGAGGCAGCAGUGGGGAAUAGUGCACAGUGGGCGCAAGCCUGAUGCAGCGACGCCGCGUGAGGGAUGGAGGCCUGCGGGUGGUGAACCUCUUUCGCCAGUGAAGCAGUCCUGCCUCGUUUGUGGGUGGGUUGACGGUAGCUGGAUAAGAAGCGCCGGCUAACUACGUG